RNAcentral lists this ribosomal RNA (583 nucleotides) under bacterium. RNAcentral's name for it is "bacterial SSU rRNA". It matches the Rfam family "Bacterial small subunit ribosomal RNA", at positions 74 to 671 of the family's 1533-position model. The record is from RNAcentral.
GGGAGCUUGCUCCUGGAUUAGUGGCGAACGGGUGAGUAACACGUGAGUAACCUGCCCUUAACUCUGGGAUAAGCCUGGGAAACUGGGUCUAAUACCGGAUAUGACUGACUGUCGCAUGGUGGUUGGUGGAAAGCUUUUUGUGGUUUUGGAUGGACUCGCGGCCUAUCAGCUUGUUGGUGAGGUAAUGGCUUACCAAGGCGACGACGGGUAGCCGGCCUGAGAGGGUGACCGGCCACACUGGGACUGAGACACGGCCCAGACUCCUACGGGAGGCAGCAGUGGGGAAUAUUGCACAAUGGGCGCAAGCCUGAUGCAGCGACGCCGCGUGAGGGAUGACGGCCUUCGGGUUGUAAACCUCUUUCAGUAGGGAAGAAGCGAAAGUGACGGUACCUGCAGAAGAAGCGCCGGCUAACUACGUGCCAGCAGCCGCGGUAAUACGUAGGGCGCAAGCGUUAUCCGGAAUUAUUGGGCGUAAAGAGCUCGUAGGCGGUUUGUCGCGUCUGCCGUGAAAGUCCGGGGCUCAACUCCGGAUCUGCGGUGGGUACGGGCAGACUAGAGUGAUGUAGGGGAGACUGGAAUUCCU